This 253-nucleotide ribosomal RNA is filed under the name uncultured bacterium. Its description in RNAcentral is "partial 16S ribosomal RNA". It matches the Rfam family "Bacterial small subunit ribosomal RNA", at positions 524 to 776 of the family's 1533-position model. The record is from RNAcentral.
UACGUAGGGGGCGAGCGUUGUCCGGAGUUACUGGGCGUAAAGCGCACGUAGGCGGCUUUGUAAGUUAGAGGUGAAAGCCCGGGGCUCAACCCCGGAAUAGCCUUUAAGACUGCAUCGCUUGAAUCCGGGAGAGGUGAGUGGAAUUCCGAGUGUAGAGGUGAAAUUCGUAGAUAUUCGGAAGAACACCAGUGGCGAAGGCGGCUCACUGGACCGGUAUUGACGCUGAGGUGCGAAAGCGUGGGGAGCAAACAGG